GUGAGCAUAGUUUAAAAAAAAUAUUACGCCGUGGACAUAAAGAUAGGACCCCACUGACCUUGCCCACC
RNAcentral lists this transfer RNA (68 nucleotides) under Stenodactylus petrii. RNAcentral describes it as "tRNA-His". The record is from RNAcentral. Lineage: Eukaryota; Metazoa; Chordata; Lepidosauria; Squamata; Gekkonidae.